CCUACGGGAGGCUGCAGUGGGGAAUAUUGGGCAAUGGGCGCAAGCCUGACCCAGCAACGCCGCGUGAAGGAAGAAGGCUUUCGGGUUGUAAACUUCUUUUCUCAGGGACGAGGAGAGUGACGUUACCUUUGGAUUAGCCAACGCCUAACUACUUGCCAGCAGCCGCGGUAAUACGUAGGUGGCAAGCGUGAUCCGGAUUGAUUGGGUGUAAGGGGCGUGUAGCAGGGAGCGCAAGUCAGAUGUGAAAACUCAGGGCUCAACCCUGAAACUGCAUUUGAAACUGUGUUUCUUGAGUGCUGGAGAGGUAAUCGGAAUUCCGAGUGUAGCGGUGAAAUGCGUAGAUAUGAGGAGGAACACCAGUGGCGAAGGCGGAUUGCUGGACAGCAACUGACGUUGAGGCGCGAAAGCGUGGGGAGCAAACAGGAUUAGAUACCCCAGUAGUC
RNAcentral lists this ribosomal RNA (443 nucleotides) under uncultured bacterium. Its description in RNAcentral is "partial 16S ribosomal RNA". It matches the Rfam family "Bacterial small subunit ribosomal RNA", at positions 338 to 795 of the family's 1533-position model. The record is from RNAcentral.